CUCAAUGGACAUGAGUUUGGGUGAACUCCGGGAGUUGGUGAUGGACAAGGAGGCCUGGCGUGCUGUUAUUCAUGGGGUCGCAAAGAGUCAGACGCGACUGAACUGAACUGAAUGAUGAUAAAGUUGAGCGUCUUUCCGUGUGCUUACCGGUCACGUGUAUAUCUGCUGGGCAGUCUGGCUCCGGACACUGAGCUUUCCACCUCACACUGUGGAGGUUGCUUCUUGUCUGCCUGGGCCAGUAACCUCCUGACAGAGACGUGUCAUUGGAUUGUUUCUUGGUGCCAGUAGCUAUGCCUCCGAGCUUCAGUCCAGAUGGUUUUGAUUCCUACCUAAUGGUUUUUCUUUGCCACAGCACAGACUGUGACCACUUGCCAGUGUCAUUCUGGUUUAUAGCUCAUCAUACAUGAAAUACAGUUGCUGUCUGUGAUGUUGGAAACCCCAAAUCCAUCAAGGAUCAAAAGUCAGGUAGAAGCAGCUACUCUAUUUCAGGAGGAAAGUAGGUGUAAAGCUGGGUCACAGUCAUGUGGCAGGUUCAUGAGGACCCCUGGACGUCCCAGGAUCGUCAGCUGUGGAGGCGAUGACAGCUCUGGGUGUCGUGGCCUUGCUAUGAGCAGUGCACCAGGCUGUGCUCAACUUACGUUCUCAUUCAAUCCUCACAAAGCCCCCACAAAACUUCAGGCUACAGAUCCACAGUUCUGUGUCUAGCAUCGGCUAAGUGCCAGGCACAGUUCUGAGCUGCGGGAACUCGGCAGCGAGUACAGCACACGGGAUCCUUGCCCUGUAACUCUCUGCCGAGAAAGAUAGACAGCAAGCAGACAAGUGAGUGAACAACUUCAGAUCACGAUGGGGGCUUUGAAGACAACAGGUGGAGUCUCGGUGAGGGGACCACAAGGGCCUGUCUUCAGUGUUGUGUCCAGAGAAGGUCUCUUUGAGGACGUGACACUUGGGGUGAUAACCUGUAGAUGGAGGAGGAACCCUGCAAAGCUUUGGAGAAAGAGUUUUCAAAUAGAAGCAGCGUGUGCAAAGGCCCUCAGCCAGGAACCAGCUGGCUCCAGUCCAGGCACUAAAAGGAAACUGGCGUGGCUGCAGCAUCAUAAGCACGGGGAAGAGUGUGACUGAGAGAAGUUAGAGAAGCGCGAGGACCAGUUACCAGGCCCCGCAGCCCAGAAAGGAAUCCGGGGUUUUUAAACCAGUAAAGGCUUCUGAGGCAAGGAGUGACAUUCCCUGAAUGACCCCUCCAGCCAGGUGCAGAGGGGUCAGAGGAGAGGCCGAGUGAGGGUGAGGACAGGCUCACCUGUAAGUGAGGCAGCCUGAACCAGGUUGGUGGCAGUGGAGACAGAAGACAGUCAAUUUAAAAGCUGUUGGUGGCCGAACCACUGUGCUUGGGGAAUUGGGACGAGGGUGGGCUCAGGGGUGAGCCCUGCGGUGGAUGGUGGAGCUGUACUUACUGGGGUGGGAAGACCCUGGAGAAAGGACUUGAGAGGCCGGGUGGGGCCGAUUUCCAUCUCAGGUUCCUGCUGGACAACUCAAAAGAUAGAUAUCAUCUGCCACUCAGAAGACUGCUCGGGAGAUGACAGAUUGCAAAGUUAACAGCCACAGAAAAUGCAGGCUUUAUCAGGCAGCCUGAGGAAGCAGGAAACCUGGAAGGAAGUGGAGCAGGCCCCAAGCAGAGCCCCAGGGGACCUCCACGGUUGGGGGCAUUGAGAAAAGGGGCAGCCACGGGGGUGGAGAGUCACCUGCCGGGAGGAAGAACACGGUGUCCCUGAAGCCCAGAGAAAGAGUGUCAGGGGGGAGGCUGUCGGUAUGACAGCCUGCUGUUGCAUCAGGGAAUAGGGUGGGGACGGAGGAGCUGGAUUUGGCAAUGGCGGCAAACUUGGCAGUGAGUGUCCGGCAGAGCAGGGAGGCCAGGAGCCUGCUGGAGCGAGUUCCUGAGUCCUAGGGAGUCAGGACACAGGGUGGCCGGCUCUGUCUUGAAGUUUUGUCCCAUGAGUAAAGGGAUGGUAACUGGAGAACGGCAGGGAAGUAGAGAGUCUUGCUUUUUUGUUGUUGCUGGUGGUGGGGGUUUUGAAAAUGAGAGAUACAGUGGUGACGAUGACCCACCAACCCAGAAAGUGAUAAAGCCGGAACGAGGAGGGACAGCUGUCCUGAGACGGGGCAGGUUAGAGCCGUAGUCAACUGCAGAGAUCCCCCAUCAAUGGGGCAUUUCGAUAGGAUGCGGCUUCUAUUGUAAUAGGAAGGGGACUAGAGAAUGUGGGGUAGAUAUGGGUAGAUCUAUGGUGAUUGACCUAGAAAAAUGAAGGAGCGCCUAUCUGAAUAGUUCUUUUUUUUUUUUUAAUUAAAGUAUUAUGUCCUUGUUAUGGAUGAGAAACGUGAGGCUUGGAGAGAUCGGCCAACUGGUUCUAGCAACCAGGGCCAGCUAGUCUCCACUGCAGUUUGAGUCAAGCCACCGGGAGGAAUCAGGUAAAUGCCAGGGACUCUGGACUCUGCUUGUCGUGUUUCAUCCUUAUUCCCAGUGAUGGCUGCUUUUCACAGCGGAAGAGAAGCUGCCAGCCUGCCCCCAGCCACUCGGCAGAGCAGUGGACAGAGGACUGAAGGGAGCACCGUGAGAAGGGAGGCCGUGGAUCUGUUGGAUGAUCAGGCCCAGAGCAUCUCUCUCGCCCCCACAGUCUCCACCCUCUCCGCAGUUACUAUGGAAGGUGGUGGCCGUGGCUGUGAGUGUGGCUAAAGGGGACUCUCCUGUGGCUCACAGCACAGAGACAGCUCCUCUGUGUCCUCCCUUAGCUGAGCAAUCAACCCCCCAAGCCCUGCAGCCAGCUGCCCUCUCACCCCUGUAACCUUGAAUGAUGCUCAACUCUGUGUUCAUCUUGAUCUCACCCCUUCACCCAGCAUGAGGAACUGGAAAACUCGCCAGCCUGACUUAUUCAUCCAUACAUCUGGCAUAAAAAGAAGUCUAGCGUUUUCAUUUUGACUUCUCACUCCUUCGCUGCUGAUUUCCUCGGAUGGCGGCAGUCUCGCUGGGUGAAUUCUGCUUCCCCAGCACUGUUCUUCAGGUGCAAAGGGAUUCAUUCUUUGCCCGGAAGCAGCAUUCUUUUCACAAAUAUAUUUUGCAUGUAAGUUCCUAGCCACUCUUUUUUGUGGAGAUCUUUUAGGGAGGGGAUGGUUGUGGAUGUCACAUUUAUCUAAUAGAAACCGUCCUUGCCAGCUACAAGGUCCCUGCUCCACCUGGAGGGCGUGGGGAACCAGUUGGCUCACACUCUGCUUUGGGCAGCGAGCGCAGGUCCAGAGGGACUCUUGUUCUUGAGUCUCUUGCUUUCCCACACCCACUGAUACUGGUUCCUGCCAGCUCCCUGCCCUGCCCAGGCGGAGCUGUCUCUAGGCUCUGCCAUCUGGGAGAAACUCCAGGGCAGCCACAGGCGGCUCAGGCACCAGGAUUGCUGCUGCUAACCCUGUGGGCCAUCAAAUCCGUCCCCUUCCCACAUUCCCUUAGUCGCACCGCCCAAGAGCGUCUCUUGCCCUGACCAUGUACCAUCCUCUUACUUGAUGUCCUUAUCUCCUACAUUGAUCUCUACUAACUCAGCCCCUUUCCCUCCACUUGCAGCAGGAAUGACUUCUCCAAAUCCCAAGUCUUAGUCACAUGAUUCCCCUGCUUAAUCAUGCCCAGGUUUCCUAUUGCUCACAAGUUGGAACCGCUGAAUGUACUUAGAGGAAGGCUUCACAAGCCUGAUCGUACAGCAGAUCCCCAGGGGAUCUUAAAAUGCGGAUUCUGAUUCAAUAAAUCUGGAAUCAGGCCUGAAAUUCUUCACUUCUAAUAAGCUUCCAGCUGAAGUCAGUGCUGCGGGCCUGUGCGUUAUACUCUGAGGAGCAAGGAAUGCAGGGCUCCUGCCUGUCUCCCCAGCCUCAUCCCUUGCCACCUCCCCAACUCUCCUCCAGCCACAUGGGGCUUAUUCUAGCUCCCAGAAGGAAUCAGGCUCUCACUUACCCCUGGGCCUUUGCACGGGCACCCUCUCUAGAGCACUGUCUUACGCUGCCUGGCUGGCUCCUGUCCUUUAUUGCAGUGAGACCAUAGACGCUGCUUCCUCUAGGAAGCCUUCUCUGAUUCUCCAAGUCCAGGAGACAGAUUACUGAGCAUAUUUGUGGUCUGGCAGUGAUGUGAGGUGGAGGGAUAAGGAGAUAAUCUUUUUCUGUUAAGGCACAAAGUCAAAGGGGUGAGUGACCUGCACACGGCAACAGCCAGAGAGUGGGGUGGGGGAGCUGUUUCUUGCUACAGAAGGUUCCAGGAAGAUGGUCUCUGUGUCACCUGGGGUUAGAGGCAGGUGACCUGAGCUUGUCUAAAGGUCCCUGGCUCGUCCACUUCUCCCUUCUCAGCUAAGCAGAAAGGGUCCCUGAGGAGAGGACCCUGCUUGUCCUGGACUUGGAGAAUCAGAGAAGGCUUCCUAGAGGAAGCGAUUUCUAUGGUCUCACUGCAAUAAAGCACAGGAGCCAGCCAGGCAGGGUUGGACGUUGGUUUUCCUCAGUGAGAGUGAAAUCCUGGAUUUUGCUAGAAUGCUCCUGCCUGGGUUCCUACACCACAGUCUGAGUCCUGCGGGGAACUGGGAACGGAAUCUGAAACACGUGACAAAGCAUCGUCUGGAGCCUCCAGUCCCGUUCCUCUGCUGCCCUCUCCUGGACAUAGCACAGAACAGCACAUUCAUCGGACGGCGCUACCAACAACUAAGAGGAGAGGCUCAGUGAGAAGUGGUUAAGCCCUUCUUCUGUCUUGUUUUGUCACUAAGUCGUGUCCGAUUCUUUUGUGACCCCAUGAACUGUAGCCUGCCAGGCUCUAUCUGUCUAGUAAAGUUGCUCAGUCGUGUCUGACUCUUUGCAACCCCAUGGACUGUAGCCCGCCAGGCUUCUCUGUCCAUGGGAUUUUCCAGGCAAGAGUACUGGAGUGGGUUGCCAUUUCCUUCUCCAGGGGAUCUUCCCCACCCAGGGAUCGAACCGGGGUCUCCGGCAUUGCAGAUGCUUUGACCUCCAAAUUCUUACUCUCUUAUCUUAAUGAUAAUCCUAUAAGAUAAAUAAUAAUAUUCUCAUUUAUACUUUACUUAAACAUCAAGCUAAUAAUUCCAGGAUAUAAAACUCAACAUUCAGAAAACUAAGAUCAUGGCAUCUGGUCCCACCACUUCAUGGGAAAUAGAUGGGGAAACAGUGGAAAUGGUGACAGACUUAAUUUUGGGGGGCUCUCAAAUCACUGCAG
Long non-coding RNA from Bubalus bubalis (water buffalo), 5233 nucleotides. RefSeq lists it as uncharacterized. The transcript is spliced from 4 exons. The record is from RefSeq and is a predicted model, not a curated record. Lineage: Eukaryota; Metazoa; Chordata; Mammalia; Artiodactyla; Bovidae.